Oncorhynchus gorbuscha (pink salmon) is the source of this 2664-nucleotide RNA transcript. It is a transcript of the gene named zinc finger and SCAN domain-containing protein 2-like, with no coding region annotated. The transcript has 2 exons. Lineage: Eukaryota; Metazoa; Chordata; Actinopteri; Salmoniformes; Salmonidae. The record is from RefSeq and is a predicted model, not a curated record.
UCCAUGAACAUCUAUCAUUGAUGAACGAAGUUGUUGUCAAAUAAUAGCGUUGUCACUGAUUGCUAGUUAGCUAGCCCUAGCAUUCUGUAAACAUGUCUAAAAUACAGUUGUUGAGAGCGUUUCUCAACCAUCGGCUAACUGUGGCUGCUGAUGAGAUAUUCGGGGCAGUUGAAAAAACGAUAGCUGAGUACCAGGAAGAGGUUUCCCGUUCGAAAAAGGAGAACGACCGUCUACAGAAUAUUCUUGACAUUGUUAUUAAACCUGAGAUAAAGUUACAAAGAGCAGACUUCUCUCCCUCCAGACCUCCAGCAGCUCACUGUAUUGGAAGAGGAGGUUCACCCUGAGCAGCAGCCCUGUGUGCAGGAUUGGAGACCUAGUCUUGGACAGGAAGACAGCGAGCCCAUAUGGAUCAAAAAGGAGCAGGAGGAACUCAAAAAGCAACUUCAGUGGCUGGAGUCUGACACCAGAGAGUUCAUAUUUGAUCCUUUCUGUGUAAGUGAUUAUGAUCAGGACCCAACUCAGUCCUUGCAAAUCCAAAGUGAGGAAAAUAGGGAGAGAGAUUCUCAACCAAACAUUGUAACUGGACAGAUCAAAACAGAACCUGACGGAGAGGACUACAGAAUAUCAGAACCAACCUGUUCUUCAGCUCAGAGUACAAAUAGUGAACAUGUCAAUGGAAUGGAAAGCAAAGGAGCGCAGUCUCUUUUAAAGUCACACAAACCAAAGACCACAAAAAAAGAAAAAAGAAAACAAACUUAUAGCAGUGCAAAUGGUAUGAAAUGUACUCCCUGUUCUUGUAAGGUUUGUGGCAGGUCUUUUCGGUACAAGCGUCCCUUUUUUAAUCAUGUGCAAAGUCAUGCACAUAUAGAGGAUAAAGAACGUGUCUGUGGUGUGUGUGGAAAGCACUUAGAUUCUAAAGAGAAUAUGAAAGAUCACCUCCAAACUCACAUCGUAGCUGAGCCUGAGUUUUGUCAUGUCUGUGGUAAAACGUUCACCACGAAGCUUAGGCUGAAAAAGCACAUGAGGGUUCACACAGGAGAGAAACCAUAUCGCUGCGAUGAUUGUGGCAGGUGUUUCAGUGAUGCCGCCAAUUUGAUCGGACACAAAAGGACUCACACGGGCGAGAAACCAUAUUGCUGCCAGGAAUGUGGCCAAGGAUUCACUCAAAGUGGACAUCUGGUUUUGCACAGGAGGAGACAUACUGGGGAGAAGCCAUAUCUCUGUUCUGUUUGUGGCAAAAGUUUCAGCACCAGAUCAAAUUAUACAGGACACAUGAGAGUUCACACAGGGGAGAAACCGUACAGCUGCCAUGAUUGUAGCAAAUGUUUCAGCAAUACUGCUAAUCUGAGUGCGCACAGGAGGAUUCAUACAGGGGAGAAACCAUAUUGUUGUGAUUAUUGUGGCAAAGGAUUUGCUCAGAAUGGAAAUCUUAAAAUGCACAUGAAGACACAUAGGAAAUAAAUCUUGUAGGCUAAUUGCUGUAUUUGUGAGAAAUAUCUCAGCACUGACAUCCACCCAACUAGAGAAUCCACACAAGAGAGAAAUACAUCUCUUUCGUGACUGUGGCAAAGCCUUUGCACAAUGGAAAUUUGGCAAGGCAUAAUGAGAAUGUACAAAAUGUAUAACAUGUCAGAACUCAGGAUGAACAACAACAUUUCAACAGUUUGAUAACACUGGAGAGAACUGUGAUCUGGCGCAUCUGACAGUGAUUGAGGUUUCACACAAAGUGGUGAGAGACUAUACAAGUGUCCUAUAGAAAAUGCUUUAUCACAAGUGUAUUAACUAGGCGUCAAAGGAGCCUAGUUGAGGAAAAAAUUGUAGGCCUACAUGCAAUCCCUGCUUCAAGUUCUUCAAAUGGACUCACUAGGAAGGGACAUUCACAACAGGGAGAAAACAUGGCAGGGCCUUCAGGGAAAGGGCAUCAGACAGAGGAUUGAGAAGCAUAUUCUCACUUCCACCAGUAAGAAGAGAUGGGAUCUAGUACAUACCCACAAGAACCCAGCUCUUGGAUCAACAAGAUAUGACUGUACUAGCUUGAACUUACAGAACAUUGCUAGAAGUCCACAUGAACAUUGCGCAACAGAUAGCUGAGCAGCAGGAGUCCCUGCUUAUUAGUAUGACACAGGACACACGUUUGAGCUGCUGUCCUGUGUCUUGAAAACAAAACUUUGCAUUUUUUUGUCUUGAAUGUAAAAUGCCUUCUCCAGUAAUACAUCAUAUCUGUUUUUAACACUGCUGUGAUGUGGUUGUCUUACUUUUCAAAGUGUGUGUUUCUUCAUGGCUUUCAUACCAAAACUAUAGUCAUACCUCUGAGUUUGAUGUCAAUUUGCCUGCAAAGAAAAUAAAUACUUGUCUAUUUCAUUGUAUAUGUAUUGACAGGUAUAAAUAAUUAGUAUGCUAUGUUCCUGGUGAACUAUUAAAUGUGCAUGGGCUACCAUCUGAAAUAUGUGCUUCUUAUUUCAACCAGAAACUUAAAUAUGAUAAAAUAUGAAAAUGUAUAAUCUUUUUUAGAUCAGAACAUGGCACAAAAUAAAUAACAGAUAUCCUGUAAUGGGAAAUUAUUUGACUAAUUCUUUCCCUGAAUUUGAUUUACUGUUGAUAUGUAAUAAACAUAAUUGUGUGGGAAGACACAGACAGAUGCAUUCCUUUGGGUAACGUAUCUAU